CGCUGUGAAGAUGCAGUGUACCCGCGGCAAGACGGAAAGACCCCGUGAACCUUUACUAUAGCUUGACACUGAACAUUGAGCCUUGAUGUGUAGGAUAGGUGGGAGGCUUUGAAGUGUGGACGCCAGUCUGCAUGGAGCCGACCUUGAAAUACCACCCUUUAAUGUUUGAUGUUCUAACGUUGACCCGUAAUCCGGGUUGCGGACAGUGUCUGGUGGGUAGUUUGACUGGGGCGGUCUCCUCCUAAAGAGUAACGGAGGAGCACGAAGGUUGGCUAAUCCUGGUCGGACAUCAGGAGGUUAGUGCAAUGGCAUAAGCCAGCUUGACUGCGAGCGUGACGGCGCGAGCAGGUGCGAAAGCAGGUCAUAGUGAUCCGGUGGUUCUGAAUGGAAGGGCCAUCGCUCAACGGAUAAAAGGUACUCCGGGGAUAACAGGCUGAUACCGCCCAAGAGUUCAUAUCGACGGCGGUGUUUGGCACCUCGAUGUCGGCUCAUCACAUCCUGGGGCUGAAGUAGGUCCCAAGGGUAUGGCUGUUCGCCAUUUAAAGUGGUACGCGAGCUGGGUUUAGAACGUCGUGAGACAGUUCGGUCCCUAUCUGCCGUGGGCGCUGGAGAACUGAGGGGGGCUGCUCCUAGUACGAGAGGACCGGAGUGGACGCAUCACUGGUGUUCGGGUUGUCAUGCCAAUGGCACUGCCCGGUAGCUAAAUGCGGAAGAGAUAAGUGCUGAAAGCAUCUAAGCACGAAACUUGCCCCGAGAUGAGUUCUCCCUGACUCCUUGAGAGUCCUGAAGGAACGUUGAAGACGACGACGUUGAUAGGCCGGGUGUGUAAGCGCAGCGAUGCGUUGAGCUAACCGGUACUAAUGAACCGUG
RNAcentral lists this ribosomal RNA (870 nucleotides) under Escherichia coli 2-427-07_S3_C1. RNAcentral describes it as "bacterial LSU rRNA". It matches the Rfam family "Bacterial large subunit ribosomal RNA", at positions 2049 to 2912 of the family's 2925-position model. The record is from RNAcentral. Lineage: Bacteria; Pseudomonadati; Pseudomonadota; Gammaproteobacteria; Enterobacterales; Enterobacteriaceae.